Molecule: ribosomal RNA, 336 nt
Filed under: Streptomyces sp. SP18CM02
Lineage: Bacteria; Bacillati; Actinomycetota; Actinomycetes; Kitasatosporales; Streptomycetaceae
Description: partial 23S ribosomal RNA
Rfam family: Bacterial large subunit ribosomal RNA
Source: RNAcentral
UGAUCCGGAUCAGGGACAGUGUCUGAUGGGUAGUUUAACUGGGGCGGUUGCCUCCUAAAGAGUAACGGAGGCGCCCAAAGGUUCCCUCAGCCUGGUUGGCAAUCAGGUGUUGAGUGUCAGUGCACAAGGGAGCUUGACUGUGAGACCGACGGGUCGAGCAGGGACGAAAGUCUGGACUAGAGAUCCGGCAGUGGCAUGUGGAAGCGCUGUCGCUCAACGGAUAAAAGGUACCCCGGGGAUAACAGGCUGAUCUUCCCCAAGAGUCCAUAUCGACGGGAUGGUUUGGCACCUCGAUGUCGGCUCGUCGCAUCCUGGGGCUGGAGUCGGUCCCAAGGG